GGGGUCUUCGUGCAUUGUACUGUUGAGGGGGUGCUGUGUGUGUUGCUGAAAGGUCCCUCUUACUAAUCGUGGGUUGUGUCCUUGCCCAGCACCUGCCUUUUAUCCUGAUUCCCUAAAUAAAGAAUAUGGAACAGGCCUUCUGCUGCUAUGAAUCUUCCCAGGGAAAUCACUGAUGUUUGAUCUCAAGAUAAAGGAAAUUUAAGAGUUUCCAGAUUGUCCCAGACCUGCCCACAUCUGCCCUCACCAGUGGACAGCUUUGCCUAGGGAUUGCUAGUUGUAGGACCAGUUUCUCACUGACUCCAAAUCCAGUUUAUUUCAAGGAAGAAGAUAUACAAACAACUGAAUUAAGACCAGAACAUUAAGAAGAGUUAAACCCUACAGACAAUUGCAAAUCUGGAACUGGCAGCUAAUCUGUGGUGUUCUGCAGAAUGAUGAUGCCUCAGAGCCCCAGCCAUGGACUAGGACACCCUUGUGCUAGAUUUUGGACAGACAGUUAAGAGAAUCAUUGACCCCCCACUUGGUGCCUGAACAGAGUGAGAGGCUGGAGGAGACCUAUGGAUGGAUACAGAGAUUAGCAGAAGUUGAUAAAGAGGACAGAAACAGCUCACUGAAACACAGAACCUCAAAGGAAGAGGAGUCAGAGGCUGGCCAGAUCUCAAACGGAGCCACAUCUGCUGCAGAACUGCUUGUGGGGCAUGUGAAGACCAUUUGUCAGGGGAGACUGAGGUAGUAGCCACGUCCUGAUGGUGCAGCUGAUGGAAAGGUCUGUGAAGAUUGAAUGGCCACCAUUUGCUUUCCUGUGUCGGUUCUGGAGCAUCAGCAGAUUGUAGAGCAACUGGCUACUCCUGGGUGGCUCAAUCUUCUGGUGGCUCUGAGACACAUUAAAGGAGCUAAGCUGCCUUGUGCGUUGCAGAAGCCAGGGGCUAACUACUGUAUACUUUGACCACGGCGGAGUGGCCUCCUUCAGGGUGUUGCUUUGGGGCCUAUACCCAGCAGGUGGGUUACGAAUAGUGGCACUGUGGGAUGUAAGAUUCCUGGUACCGUGUGUGUAGACAUCCUAAACCCAGAAACUCUCUCAGGGGAAGAGGACAAGAGGGGAUGGGUCUCGUCCCUGUCCAGUUGAGACCUGUGUAAAUUUAGGGCACUGUACAUGUUUUAUUGCAAUAAAACUAUAUUCAGGUAACUAGAUGUCUAUUAACAGAUGAGUCAUGUCACUUAUUCUUGACAGUGGACAUUCUCUGAUAAUGACAGCAACUAGCAGCAUUAUGCUGAAGAGACUUUGGUCGAUGCAGUUGCCAUGGCUGUGAGGUGACAUUUGUUCAUUAUAAUGGCUACUGAAAGACCAGGUAAUGGGCACUUCACUGCUAACAACUUAACAGGACUUGCUUAUCGCUGGGGGCUGGAGGCAAAAGAUUUUACCAGCAGAAAGAACAAUUAUCAAAGUGUGAAAUGUGGCUUGCUGUUUUCUUCAGGUGCUUGGUGUACAUGUAUAAUUAGUAGCUAGGUGUCAUUGUUUAUAACUCCAUAACUUGCCUCUUAAACUUCUCUGAUUACACAUAUGCCUAUACACCCUCCCCGCAAUGCCCCUAGUAUUUUGUGUGCAGCAGAAAUUGGAAGCCAUGAAUAAAGUUAAAGAAACC
This is a long non-coding RNA of Mauremys mutica (yellowpond turtle), 1640 nucleotides long. RefSeq lists it as uncharacterized. The transcript is spliced from 9 exons. The record is from RefSeq and is a predicted model, not a curated record. NCBI's taxonomy places the organism in Eukaryota, Metazoa, Chordata, Testudines, Geoemydidae.